GCCUGGGUGGCUGAGUCUGUUGAGUGUCUGACUUCGGUUCAGGUCAUGAUCUCACGGUUCGUGGGUUCGAGCCCCACAUCGGGCU
This 85-nucleotide transfer RNA is filed under the name Felis catus (domestic cat). It matches the Rfam family "tRNA". From Rfam's summary of the family: Transfer RNA (tRNA) molecules are approximately 80 nucleotides in length. Their secondary structure includes four short double-helical elements and three loops (D, anti-codon, and T loops). Lineage: Eukaryota; Metazoa; Chordata; Mammalia; Carnivora; Felidae. The record is from Rfam by way of RNAcentral.